This is a long non-coding RNA of Bombina bombina (fire-bellied toad), 424 nucleotides long. RefSeq lists it as uncharacterized. The transcript is spliced from 3 exons. The record is from RefSeq and is a predicted model, not a curated record. NCBI's taxonomy places the organism in Eukaryota, Metazoa, Chordata, Amphibia, Anura, Bombinatoridae.
GAAGAACGUCUGGCACGCCUCAUGAUGAAAGAAGAGACUUGAAGGUGGAGAGAAGAUGAACCAACUUGACAGCAUCUUGUCCAGGAUCAAAGAGGAACAGGAACUGCAAACACCAGCUUAAGAAAGCUAGAGUACUUCAGCCAAAUGCAGUGUUCACCUACGUGUGAAUCUGAUCCUUUCUGUAUGGAUCACGGUUCUUUGAAUCAAGGUGCUCAGAGGAGGAAUAGGUUGUCAACAUUCUUUGAACCAAAAACUGGAGAAGAAAUAGGACAGAGAAAGCGCUCCUCGAUUCAAGAUGCCAAGGCUUUCGUUCGACUGGGGACGCCUCCUGAUUGCACUCUUUCUUUUUUUGCUCCUCCUCUCCUCAAAUUCAAAGUAACUAUCCUCCAAAAUGAAGCAAAUUCCUUUAAUAAAGAAUUGUACC